Molecule: long non-coding RNA, 921 nt
Organism: Oncorhynchus keta (chum salmon)
Lineage: Eukaryota; Metazoa; Chordata; Actinopteri; Salmoniformes; Salmonidae
Exons: 4
Source: RefSeq, a predicted model, not a curated record
CUCCCUCUCCUUAAUGUUGGGUCAGGUAUUCUGCCACAGUGGGAAGGUAUUUGGCAGCCUUUCUCAAUAGCAAGGCUCUCUCUCCCUCUCCUUAAUGUUGGGUCAGGUAUUCUGCCACAGUGGGAAGGUAUUUGGCAGCCUUUCUCAAUAGCAAGGCUCUCUCUCUCCCUCUCCUUAAUGUUGGGUCAGGUAUUCUGCCACAGUGGGAAGGUAUUUGGCAGCCUUUCUCAAUAGCAAGGCUCUCUCUCUCCUCUCCUUAAUGUUGGGUCAGGUAUUCUGCCACAGUGGGAAGGUAUUUGGCAGCCUUUCUCAAUAGCAAGGCUCUCUCUCUCCCUCUCCUUAAUGUUGGGUCAGGUAUUCUGCCACAGUGGGAAGGUAUUUGGCAGCCUUUCUCAAUAGCAAGGCUCUCUCUCUCCCUCUCCUUAAUGUUGGGUCAGGUAUUCUGCCACAGUGGGAAGGUAUUUGGCAGCCUUUCUCAAUAGCAAGGCUCUCUCUCCCUCUCCUUAAUGUUGGGUCAGGUAUUCUGCCACAGUGGUCAGGUAUUUGGCAGCCUUUCUCAAUAGCAAGGCUCUCUCUCUCCCUCUCCUUAAUGUUGGGUCAGGUAUUCUGCCACAGUGGGAAGGUAUUCGGCAGCCUUUCUCAAUAGCAAGGCUCUCUCUCCCUCUCCUUAAUGUUGUUUUUUUGCCACUGUGAACUCUCUAUUUAGGGCCAAAUAGCAUUUCAGUUUUUGGUCAAUUCUUUCCAAUGUGUUUUCUCAUGAUUUGGUUGGGUCUAAUUGUGAUGCUAUUGCUGUCCUGGGGCUCUGUGGGGUCUGUUUGUGUUUGUGAACAGAGCCCCAGGACCAGCUUGCUUAGGGGACUCUUUUCCAGGUUCAUCUCUCUGUAGGUGAUGGUUUGUUUGUGAUGGCUUUGUUAUGGAAGG